This 272-nucleotide ribosomal RNA is filed under the name Bacillus licheniformis. RNAcentral describes it as "partial 16S ribosomal RNA". It matches the Rfam family "Bacterial small subunit ribosomal RNA", at positions 83 to 347 of the family's 1533-position model. The record is from RNAcentral. Lineage: Bacteria; Bacillati; Bacillota; Bacilli; Caryophanales; Bacillaceae.
UCCCUGAUGUUAGCGGCGGACGGGUGAGUAACACGUGGGUAACCUGCCUGUAAGACUGGGAUAACUCCGGGAAACCGGGGCUAAUACCGGAUGCUUGAUUGAACCGCAUGGUUCAAUUAUAAAAGGUGGCUUUUAGCUACCACUUACAGAUGGACCCGCGGCGCAUUAGCUAGUUGGUGAGGUAACGGCUCACCAAGGCAACGAUGCGUAGCCGACCUGAGAGGGUGAUCGGCCACACUGGGACUGAGACACGGCCCAGACUCCUACGGGAG